CCCCAGUGGGUGUGCCCCCAGCAGUGCAGCCAGUCCCUCCCUGUCAGCGAGGGGCUGCUGUGGGAGCACAGCCCUGCCUGGGUCCUGGCCAGGCGCCUGCUCCCAGUGCACAGGGAGGUGUGGAACCCUGCCAGCUUCUCACUGCCCUGAGUCAUGGCUGGGCACUGGCCUCGGGCUGCCAGCUCUGCUUUGGUCUGGGGCAGCCCCAAGCAGAGAAUCGCUUUAAGGGCAACAGGACCCUUUAGAACAUCAACAACAUGACUGGCAAGUGUGGGAAGAAGAAGGGAUAAGUAACAUUUUUGAUCCCAAUUAAAACAUGAUUGGUAUUUUAGAAAUAUGAAAUCCUGAUGACCAGACUCAUAUCAAUCCUAAUGCUGCUAACAGUUUUGUGGAAGAGAUCUUCAGGGAGGACAUGGAAAACAGAACUCUGAGUGAGUAUAAAACUGGAGUUGUGUAUUAAUAUUUAAGGCCAUCUUGUUUUGUUCCAUUUGUUGGAGAUUUUUUAAUAAAAUGAUUAUACUGGCUAACUUGCCA
This 534-nucleotide long non-coding RNA is filed under the name Parus major (Great Tit). RNAcentral describes it as "lncRNA (ENSPMJG00000010359.1)". The record is from RNAcentral. Lineage: Eukaryota; Metazoa; Chordata; Aves; Passeriformes; Paridae.